UACGGAGGAUCCAAGCGUUAUCCGGAAUCAUUGGGUUUAAAGGGUCCGUAGGCGGUUUGGUAAGUCAGUGGUGAAAGCCCAUCGCUCAACGGUGGAACGGCCAUUGAUACUGCCAGACUUGAAUUACUGGGAAGUAACUAGAAUAUGUAGUGUAGCGGUGAAAUGCUUAGAGAUUACAUGGAAUACCAAUUGCGAAGGCAGGUUACUACCAGUGGAUUGACGCUGAUGGACGAAAGCGUGGGUAGCGAACAGGAUUAGAUACCCUGGUAGUCCACGCCGUAAACGAUGGAUACUAGCUGUUGGGAGUAAUCUCAGUGGCUAAGCGAAAGUGAUAAGUAUCCCACCUGGGGAGUACGAACGCAAGUUUGAA
Molecule: ribosomal RNA, 370 nt
Filed under: uncultured bacterium
Lineage: Bacteria
Description: bacterial SSU rRNA
Rfam family: Bacterial small subunit ribosomal RNA
Source: RNAcentral